This 500-nucleotide ribosomal RNA is filed under the name Cryptops legagus. Its description in RNAcentral is "partial small subunit ribosomal RNA". Lineage: Eukaryota; Metazoa; Arthropoda; Chilopoda; Scolopendromorpha; Cryptopidae. The record is from RNAcentral.
AAACAUGUUAAGUUGAAUUUUAUAACUUAUUUGACCUGCCCAGUGAUAAUUUUAACGGCCGCGGUAUUAUGACUGUGCUAAGGUAGCAUAAUCAAUUGUCUAUUAAUUGUAGACUAGAAUGAAAGGUUAGACUUAUUUUUACUGUCUUUAUACUAAMUUGAAGUUAUAUUCUUUAUAAAAAUAUUAAGAUUUUGUAAUGGGACGAUAAGACCCUAACAAGCUUUAUAUCUAUUAAGUACAUAAAUUAGAGUAACUAUUGUGUUAUAAAAUAUUUUACUGGGGCGGUGAGUAUGAGCUAACCAUGCUGAGAUUUAAUAUGUUUGAUCCAUAAUCAAAUUAUGACUAUUUGUUUAAGUUACUGUAGGGUUAACAGCGUAAUAUCUGUUGAAAGAUUUUAUAGAUGUAGAUGUUUGCGACCUCGAUGUUGGUUUAAGAUUCCUUUGUAGAGACAUUAAGUUCAUAAGGUAGUUUGUUCAACUAUUAAAGUCUUAUGUGAUCUG